AUCGUUCUUCAACUCUCUGGACAGGACCCAGAUGGGGAUUCUGUAACCUUCAGCAACCAAGGUACCAACACAGACAAGAGCUUUUACUAUGUGAACCCAACAACUGGUGUUGUGUUGCUGAAAGACUUGAGAUCGACUGACCGCACAUCAUUUGAGAUCCCAGUGCAAGUUUCUGACGGUCGUGGAAAAACUGGUGAUGCUAUUGUGAGGAUAACAGUGACAAAGAACAGUGGCCCACCUGUGUUCAGCAAUACACCAUAUGAAACUAGAAUCCCAGUCACACAGCCUGUUGGAACUCGUGUACUCUCGCUCUCCGUCAAUGAUCCUGAUCGCGUGGGAACCAUUGUUUGCCAACUUGAGGGGUACGAACCUGGACAAACCUACUUUGAUCUAAAUAAUGUCACACAUGCCAUCACAG
Molecule: long non-coding RNA, 418 nt
Organism: Haliotis rubra (blacklip abalone)
Lineage: Eukaryota; Metazoa; Mollusca; Gastropoda; Lepetellida; Haliotidae
Exons: 4
Source: RefSeq, a predicted model, not a curated record